RNAcentral lists this ribosomal RNA (256 nucleotides) under uncultured bacterium. Its description in RNAcentral is "partial 16S ribosomal RNA". It matches the Rfam family "Bacterial small subunit ribosomal RNA", at positions 524 to 776 of the family's 1533-position model. The record is from RNAcentral.
UACGUAGGGUGCAAGCGUUGUCCGGAUUUAUUGGGCGUAAAGAGCUCGUAGGCGGUCUGUCGCGUCGGAUGUGAAAAACCCAGGGCUCAACCCUGGGCCCUGCAUUCGAUACGGGCAGACUAGAGUAGCGGCAGGGGAGACUGGAAUUCCUGGUGUAGCGGUGAAAUGCGCAGAUAUCAGGAGGAACACCGGUGGCGAAGGCGGGUCUCUGGGCCGUAACUGACGCUGAGGAGCGAAAGCGUGGGGAGCGAACAGG